Molecule: ribosomal RNA, 75 nt
Filed under: Salmonella enterica subsp. enterica serovar Infantis
Lineage: Bacteria; Pseudomonadati; Pseudomonadota; Gammaproteobacteria; Enterobacterales; Enterobacteriaceae
Description: partial 16S ribosomal RNA
Rfam family: Bacterial small subunit ribosomal RNA
Source: RNAcentral
UUAAAUUGAAGAGUUUGAUCAUGGCUCAGAUUGAACGCUGGCGGCAGGCCUAACACAUGCAAGUCGAACGGAACG